CCUACGGGGGGCUGCAGUGGGGAAUCUUGGACAAUGGGCGCAAGCCUGAUCCAGCCAUGCCGCGUGGAUGAUGAAGGCCCUAGGGUUGUAAAAUCCUUUCGUUGGGGACGAUAAUGACGGUACCCAAAGAAGAAGCUCCGGCUAACUUCGUGCCAGCAGCCGCGGUAAUACGAAGGGGGCUAGCGUUGUUCGGAUUUACUGGGCGUAAAGCGCGUGUAGGCGGACUUGUAAGUUGGGGGUGAAAUCCCGAGGCUCAACCUCGGAACUGCCUCCAAAACUACAAGUCUGGACUCAAGUAGAGGCAAGUGGAAUUGCGAGUGUAGAGGUGAAAUUCGUAGAUAUUCGCAGGAACACCAGUGGCGAAGGCGACUUGCUGGACUUGUAGUGACGCUGAGACGCGAAAGCGUGGGGAGCAAACAGGAUUAGAUACCCCAGUAGUC
Molecule: ribosomal RNA, 440 nt
Filed under: uncultured bacterium
Lineage: Bacteria
Description: partial 16S ribosomal RNA
Rfam family: Bacterial small subunit ribosomal RNA
Source: RNAcentral